CCUGCCUCAGCCUCUCAAGUCACUGGGUUUACAGGUGUGUGCCACCAUGCCCAGCUCUUUCUCUUUCUCUCUCUCUUUAAAUACAGAAGGGUGGGUUUCAUUGUGGCAUGUUCGUACAUAUGAAUUUUGCUUAAAGUUCUUUCCCAGUACCUUCCCCACCUGACUUUCCUUUCUCUUAGAUUUCCUGAUUCCUGUUCUCCCCAAGAAUUCCAAUAAAUAUUUGGGGAAGAAUUCUCACUGGCCCAGCUGACAGUCAUUGUUGCUCUCUAAUCAGCCAGACCAGACUCCAUUGUGCACCCCCAUCUGGGGAUAUGAGAGUGGAGUUAGGACCACCAAACCAAAUGGGACAUGGGAAUUACUAAAGCAAACAAGAGCGUGCUAUUUCUAAGAGGUGGAAAGGAGGCUGGGUAAGUAAAUGCAGAAAUUCUUUCCAGAUUAUUUAGCAUGGAAUUCAGUUUGUCCUCACCAGCAUGGCCCUUGGGAGAUGUUUAUAGUUCAGUAUCCAUUCUGAUUAAUUUGUGCAUAUACCCGUUGGCUUGUUAAAUCUGUUGAACAUCACCUCUGCCCAUUUCCACCGAAUAGUUUUGCCUAGUUUAUCAACUUUCCCAGCCAGAUCUUCUGCUCCUACCCCUGCAUACACACACCCCAUAGCCCAACCUAAUGGUCCUACUUUUGGGGACAUCAGUCUAUAAAAGCAGAGUCUGAUUAUUUUCAUUCCUACUUAUCUUCAAAGACCAGUUCAACCAAGGCCCCAUGAGGCCUUUGUACUGUCCUCACCUGGAAUUGACCUUAGACUUGCCUCACCCCACCUGAAUACUCUGUGAGUGUGUCUCUCAUUGUCUCUUUCUUUUUGUGGGGUGGGGGUACUGGGGAUUGAACUCAGGGGCACUGAGCCACAUCCUGACCCUAUUUGGUUUUUUACCUUUAUUUAUUUAUUUAUUUUUAUGUGGUGCUGAGGAUUGAACCCAGGGCCUCGCAUGUGCUAGGCAAGCACUCUACCGCUGAGCCACAGCCCCAGCGCCCCCAGCCCUAUUUUGUAUUUUAUUUAGAGACAGGGUCUCAAUGAGCCUUGCCAUUGCUGAGGCUGGCUUUGAACUCAGAAUCCUCCUGUCUCAGCCUCCAGAGGCUCUGGGAUUACAGGCAUGUGCCACUACGCCUAGCUCUCAUUGUCUCUUUGAUUGGAAUUAAACAUUUAUUGUGGCUCUCUGCUGAGACUGCACCCUAUUAAUCUAUGUUCCUCAAAGUCUGUCACUUACUUAGUCACGUGACACUUAUAAACUCCUUCACCUCUUUUAAUGUUCUUUUUGUUUGUUUGUUUUUUGUGGUGCUGGGCAUUAGACCCAAGACCUCACCCAGGCUAGGCAGGCACUGUGCCACUGAGCUAUACCCCCAACCCUUCCUUACCUCCUUUAGCCUUCAUUUAUUUCUUUGUAAAAGAGGGAUGAUGAAGCUGGGAAUGUAGCUCAAUGGUACAGCUCUUGCCCUGGAGUGGACAUAUGUCUUGGGAUCAAUCCCUAGCACCACAAAAAUAAGCAAAAAAAUAAAAAUGAGAGAUGAUAAUAGCCCUUGUAGUGUGUGUGUGUGUGUGUGUGUGUGAGAGAGAGAGAGAGAGAGAGAGAGAGAGAGAGAGAGAGAGAAAUUGAGACACAAAACACUAAGUAUGCCAGAGAGAUGAUGUGCCUUGCACAGGACGGACAUCUGUGCUGGCUGAGCUGGGAUUCAAAUGUCCUUCUCUACAUAGAGACUGCACUCCUAACUACUAUUCCAAACAGACUCCCACACAGGAGAUGGAUAGUGGUUGGUACACAGUAGGGGAUGAAUGUUGCUAAAUGCUAAAUGCUUCACUCUGUUGAAUUGAAUCUCAUUUCCGCUUUGGCUGUGCCUUCACCUGGACUGAUUUGCACCUCUCAGUUCAUCUUGGCUGUGUCAUCAGGUCACAUGACACAGUUCUCCUGGGGUGCCCAUUUAAUUCCUGCUGACUUGGAGUAUAUCUUCUGAGCACUCCUGUCAACUGGGAGGAACCUAUGGGCUGUAAUCCUGGAUCUGGAACAGGCCAAAGGUCUCUGUUUGCAGUGACCCAGACAACAGCUGGAACUCAUCCAGGGGAGAUGCUGCCUGUUGGGGAGGGUGUGAGCCUUCCCAAUGCCCCUGCCCCCACUAGGAGUCCAAGGUCCAAGGCUGCAGUUUUCCUGUUCAGAACAUAUUGCUUACCCUUUGGUUUCCAGGGCAUUUGUGGUGAUAAAACCACUUGUCCUGUUCACUUCACAACAGCCUCACAGCUAGAUAUUUGGAGAAAAGAACAUGGGGAUUUGAAUCCACUAAACUCAUAUCUCUGUUCGUGGAAGCAUGUUUACCACAAGAGUCUAUUUGUUUUCUAUUUAUCACGUAGUUAAUAUGUACUAAUUGUUGUAUUGACUUUUUGCCCUGAAUAAUACUUUGUUGUAAGACACUACCCUGUGCAUCGUAAGAUGUUUAGUAGCAUCCCUGGUUUCUACCUACUAAAGCACCCCCAGUUAUGACCACCAAAAAUGUCUCCAGACUUUGCCAAAUGUCCUGGGGAGGUGGGUGCAACUCAUGCCUGGGUAAGAACCUGAUUUAAUUGAAUGGACACAGCAACCCUAUGACCUAGGAAGUAUUAUCUCCCCUUUUUAUUUUUAUUUAUUUCUUAUUUGGGGAUCGAUCCUGGGGCCUGGGGCUAGGCAAGUGCUCUAUGACUGAGCUAUACCCACUUCUCUAUCCCUUACUAGAGAAAGAGAAACUGAGACCCAAAGAAGUGAAGUCUAAGAAAAUCAUAUUGAAACCAACCCCUUGUUUUCUGCUGAAAGAAGGAUCUAAACUAAGCAGGCACUUUAUAAACAUUUGCUAAUUUGAUCCUGAUGAAAAUAUUUUUUAUGUAGAUGGUAACCUUUCAUAGAUGAGAAAAUUAAAGUUACUAAAGUUUAACAGUGUACUUGGUUCUGUUUGUUUAUAUUCUAUCUCAUUCCAGAUGGACUUGCACUCAGAUUUGAGCCUCAUCUGUCUGGUUCCAAAGUCCAAGCUCUUUCCCUGACACUAGACUGAUGCUGAGUAGCUGAGAGCCGGUCACAAAACAGACAACCAGGCGGGGAGAAGCAAUGGGAACACAGCCAAGUUCACAGUGCUGAGAGGCUGUGAUUUCUCAAGUGCUGCCAACAGUGCCCAGUACCUAGGCCAGGCAUCCUGGUGUCUAUAAACAUGGACUCCACACUUAUUUACUCAGUCCCUACUGUGGGAAUAAAACAAAACACACCAGACAAAAAUCCCUGCCUUCUUGGGGCUCACAAUCAAAUUCAGAGAUGAGAGAGCCAAACAGAUGACUAUAAUCUUAGAUGGAAAAAACAAAAAUAAAAGCUUGUGGUGAUAAAAUCACUUGUCCUGUUCACUUCAUAAUAGCCUCCUGGCUAGAUAUUUGGAGAAAAGACCAUGGGGAUUUGAAUCCACUGAACUUAUAUCUCUGUUCCUGGAAGCAUGUUUACCAUAAGAGUCUAUUUGUUUUCUAUAAAUGUAGCUCAGUGAUAGAGCACUUGCUUAGCAUGUGCAAAGCCCUGGCUUCCAUUCCUGGUGUGUGGACAUACACACACGUGCACACCAAAGGAAAAAAAAAAAGUUUAUAAGGGCCAAAGAAGGAAGAUGCAUCCUCCAGGGAGCCAGAGAAAUCUUUCUGGAGGGGGGCUCUUGAGUUGAGGUUCAGUUGAGUCCAUCUGUACUAUGGAGCUAAUGGGCUCUACUACAGAGGACUCUGGUGAGAACUAAAUUAUAUUAAGACUAUAAGUAUUUAGUGAGGAACCUGACACACUGGGAGGGCCUAAAUAACUCCUACCACCUUGUUCACUCCUUCCUCUAAUAAGUACUAUUUGUUUUAUAAUUUAAAAAAAAUUCCUUUAAAGACUUCCCAUUGAUCACACAAUAAAGUCCAUUUUUUGUUGUUGUUGUUGGCAGUGCUGAGGAUCAGACCCAGGGCCUGGCACACACACAUACCAGGCAAACACUCCACCAUUGAGCUAUAUUCCCCAGGUCAAGGUCCAAAAUUCUUGAUAUGCCCUGUACAGUUCUGCUGGAUCUGUCUAUGGCUUUCUUCAUUCAGCUUCAACCUUCCUCAUGUUCUCCUUGAUCAUUCUGUCCCUACAAGGUUUUUUUCCUUUUGUUUGUUUGUUUGUUUUUGGCAGUACUGGGGAUUAAACCCCGGACCUUUUGCAUGUUAGGUGAGUUCUUUACCACUGAGUUAUAGCUACAAUUCUUUUUUAAAUUUUAUUUUCAGAAAGUUGCCGAGGCUGGGCUCAAACUUGUGAUCCUCCUACCUCAGCCUCCUGGGAUUACAGGUGUAUGCCACUGCACCUAGCAAAAAGAGUUCUUCCUCGACAUGUGAAUUUGGACACUCAGAAAUGAGACAGAAGCUCAAGUCUCUGUUCCAGUAGGAGCCAACUGUUAGGUCAGAGGUGAUCUGGACAUGGGAGGAAAGAAUUUCAGCUAAGACUUUUUUUUUUUUUUUUUUUAGGGCCAGGAGAUCACACAAUCUUGAGAGAAGAUGGGACAUUCUGGCACUAUACUUAAGCUUCUCCCCAAAGAGGGGAAGAGGCUUGCCCAAGUUCUCCAGCCAUGUGAGUGAGAACCUAUGCUGGCCACUGCAGCUGUUGCCUCCAGCCUCAGGAAGAAAAAAUUAAGGCAAGAAGUUGUAGGUCUCUGGCACAGAGUGUUGACGCUAGUGCCAGAGAUUUAAAGAUCUGAAGGUUCAGGCUUGUGGGACCUCAAACAAGUCAUUCCCCCUGUUUGUUCUUUAUUGUCACCAUCUGUAAUAGAGAGUCUUAGGUCAAGUACUCUGGAAAGCAGACUUAGAUGGAAAUUUGCAUACAGGAGGUUUACUGGGGAACAAUAUCAGAGGACAGUGAGAAGCAGGGCUAGGCAGAAAUUGGGUUGCAAUGCAGCUGCAGUGGAGGGCUCAGCUGAUCUGACAGGGGAUUCUAGAGCUGGAAUAAUCUGUCAGAGCUGUUUCAAAGGAAGGCAAAGGGUCCAGGCCUUUGUUCAUUCUCCUAUCAACCAGUCAUUGGAAGCAGACUAUCUGGAGGGCAUAACCAUGAGUUAGUUUGCUCCUUUCAACCCAGGACAGUUCCCAGAGAGGGAUUCAGGUCUUUCAGCAGCCAACACCCUCAAUGGAAUGGGGAUGUGGGAAGGAAUGUGUGCCCUAGACUUCGUGACACCCGAGCACCACUACAAAGGAAUGCAGAUGAGCAUUUCUAACUGUUCUGUUUCGUGAAGCCUUCAGGUUCCAAGAAGGUGCUUCAGUGGGGGAAAUCCUCUCUUCUUGAAUGUGUUGUAGCUUCUGCAGAGUCUAACUUAUUUCCUUGAAAGAGGUCUCCACUGCUAGGUCUUAAAUGUCCUCAGAGGCACCUCAUUGCUUUUUUUUUUUUUUGGGGGGGGGUACACAGGGGCACUUACCACUGAGAUAUAUCCCUAGCCCUUUUUAUUUUGAGACAGGGUCUAAGUUGCUAAGGCUGGCCUCAAACAUGUGAUCCUCCUGCCUCAGCCUUCCAAGUUGCUGGGAUGACAGACAUGCAUCACUCUGCCUUGCUCAUGUCUCUUGUGGGGUGCUCAUCACAAUUGUAAUGUAAAUAAUUUGCUGAGUAAUGAUCUAAUAUCUGUCUCUGCCACUUGACAAUAAAUCCCAAAGAACCA
This 5688-nucleotide long non-coding RNA is filed under the name Marmota monax (woodchuck). The record is from RNAcentral. Lineage: Eukaryota; Metazoa; Chordata; Mammalia; Rodentia; Sciuridae.